This is a long non-coding RNA of Homo sapiens (human), 1819 nucleotides long. Ensembl annotates it as AGA divergent transcript. Its record names the gene AGA-DT. The record is from Ensembl. Lineage: Eukaryota; Metazoa; Chordata; Mammalia; Primates; Hominidae.
AGCCGGAUAGAAACCUUAUGCCUCAGGAUCUUGCUUUGGAAGUCACAUAGCAUCACUUCUUCUGUUAUCUACAGGUCAAAACAGUCACAAGCCUGCUCAAAUUCGGAAAGAGGGGACGGAAAUGGAACCUCUUCAUGGGAGGAAGUUUUUGCUGAAGCACCAAAAUAGAGGCAAAGUUUUGUAGAGGCCAAGUGCUACCUUAUUCUCAAAUGGAGUUUUAGAUCAUCCAUGAAUUACUUGCAAAAGGGACGUCCUGAAACUCUGCACCACUAGACCAUCGUACACCUUUAAUGAAUUCUUAGAUGCAUUUUAUAUAUGAUGUAUGUACAUAAAAAUGAAUGAAUUCAUUAGAAGACAUUUUAAAAAUGGGAAUUUCCGUGGACAAAGAGUUUUAGGAAAGUUGAGUAUUUCUUUUGAAGCUACGUGAGGAGAGCUUUUGGAAAAGCACUAAGGAAUCUUGAUGCGUAUGCUUCGUGCUUCUGUAGACACACAGUUGGCACCUGACUCAGAUAUAAAAAAGUCUCAAGGUUUUAUUAUCGCUGGCAGAGCAAGAGGAGAGAUGGCAAGAGUGAGACACUGCAACCCACCCACUGAUGUUGGGGCGAAGAUGCCCUAGGCCAGACCUAUAACACAUAAAUAGAAAGGAGCUGGACUUGAGGGACUUGAUUUUGAACAGGACACUGUCAAAAGCCCCCACCUGGGAAACUGUACUAAUAGCCCCCACCUGGGAAACUGUACUAAUAGAAGAGUCAGCGUGGGGUGGUGUGUUAGUUUGUUUUGAUGCUGCUGAUGAAGACAUACCCAAGACUAGGCGAUUUACAAGAGAAAGAAGAGGUUGAAUUGCACUUACAUUUCCGCACGGCUGGGGAAGCCUCACAAUCAUGGCGGAAGGUGAGGAGGAGCAAGUCACAUCUUAACGUGGAUGGCGGCAGGCAAAGACACAAAGAAUGAGAGCCAAGUGAAACAGAUUUCCCCUUAUCAAACCAGCAGAUCUCACGAGACUUAUUCACUACCACGAGGACAGCAUGGGAGAACCCACCCCCACAAUCCAACCAUCUCCCACCACGUCCCUCCCAGAACACGCGGGAAUUAUGGGAGUACAAUUCAAGAUGAUAUUUGGGUGGGGACAUAGAGCCAAACAAUAUCAGGUGGACUGCCAGUAAAAAGGGGCGGGCGUGUGUUAAUGCUUUGGAGAAGGCAUUGUGUCUCUGAUAGGAACUACAGGUGAGAGAGAGAUCCCAGCGACAGAAGGUCGCCAAGGAAUCUGUGGGAGAGGAAAUAAGAAUUUGCCUGUCUGUUCCCAGUUGUUUGAGACUGGGGAGAAGACGAUGAGAAAAGUUUUAAAUUGGAUGAGAGGUUGAUACUCAGAUAUUAGGCAGAAAGGAACUUUUAUACCCCUGAAAAAUGAGAGUUCUUCUUAAUAACUAACUAGAAAAAAAUGUCAGAUCGGCCUAAUAUUUCAUCUGGGGAUAAAUAAGGACAGUUCAAAAUUAGAAAGAGCAGUAGUGAGGAAAAAAAAAUGGUCACUCUCUGCUUUUAACCUGACAACUCUUAUUCAGUCAAUUUAAAUGUUAUACAGGUUUUAGAUAAAAUACUAACAAGUAAAACACCUAUGAUAGAGUUCUGAGUAAAAUGUACAGCAUUCUGUACUUCAUAAAGAAUAUAAACUCAAGUUUAUUAUAUAUAUUACAUGUUCUCUCUAUAUUCUUUCUAUAUAAUCUAUUAUAUGUGUUUUCUCUAAUAGUAAUUAAAAAAACCCCACACAUACAGGUAUCUAUAGAAAAAAUUGGAUGCUGACACACUUACCUAAUGUUAAGAC